UAUCCAGAUUGCAACAUGUUUAGUUAUCUCUAACAGAAAGCCAUAGCUAAGUUACAGUAAAUUAUCACUGUCAAUUUUAAAUAUCAUUUGUUUGAAAACAAAAAACUAGUAAAAAUAUUGAUAAUUGAGGUUAUUAUAUAUAUACAUAUAUAUGUUGAAUAACGGAGGAGAGUUUUGAUUUUAAAUAGAGAAAGAUAUGAAAAAGCUGUGUGUUCCCAAAGCUGCUAUUGAAGUUGAAGUGGGAUUUAAGAGAAGUGUUCCAUGUUGAGCUAACAAUGUGGCCCUUUAUGUGCAUGUCGCUAAAAGGCAAUACCAUGUGAUGACAUUGACUUUCUAUAUUCAUUUCCAUUACUAUUUACUAAAUUUUCACAUUGUGUUAGUAUUAAGAACUAGAGCUAGUGAAUAAUCUAGAAAGUUCAUAGCUGAUCAUCUUUAAAAAAAAGAAGAAUAUAGAUCAUUUGUGUAUGUUCGCUGAAUCUAAUUACUGAAGCAUUACAUCGAAAAAGGAUCAAGCGUGGACUUCCUUCGACCUUGAAACUGAUUACUCAAAAAAAAGUAGUCAUGAUAAGUUCGUCUUCUUCCUAAUUUAACUCCUCUGUUUCGGAAACUUGAGAUUUUGUACACUUGAUGCUAAACGGCAUGCAUGUCCCAUGUGGUUGCUUAAGAUCUCGGAUUAUGCCUCCUUAAUUAGAUUCUUAAUCAUGAUUACCACGGGGACAAAAUGUACUUAAUUACGUCCUUUGUGUGUGCAUUAUUUACAUAACAUACAAAAGUAUCAACAAAUUAGGGAAAAUGACUAAUUAAUUCCCAUUGAUUAUAAAUUUUAGUCAACUUAACCAUGUUUUCUUCUCCAAAAUCAAUGGUGUUGUGAUUCACAUUCCCAACGCAACAUACCUUCCAAAAUUACUGUUACAAAGUUUAAGUUAGGGAGAAGUUCGGACUUAUUAAUAGAUUAUAGUUUACCUUCUAGUUUAAAAUUUACAAAUGGACAUUUUAGAACUUAUGCUACAUAAGCUAAAAAGAAAACAAAUAAAUAAAAUUUACUUAUUUGAAAUAAUAGAAGGGAUAAUGAACAUCUUAAGCCAUCUUUUUAAUUUCAAAAUUUCCUAUUUUUCACAUUUAAAAUAGAUUAUGACAUGGCUUGAUGAGAGAAACAUGUCAAGCAACAUUUUCAUACUAAUUAUUUAUUUAUUUAUGGUCCUUCAUGGGGACACCAAAGUAUGAUUGUUAAAGCAUUGCUUGGCUACGUUUCACAUCACAAUGGUUAAUUGGACUAGUAUGGUUGUUUCAUUCUCUAUUUUAAUGAACUUAUUUUAAUGAACUUAUCAAACACAUUUUAUAUUGAUUAAAGAUAAGCAAUAUAACUAUAUUCUACUUAUUUUUGAGCAGGGUAAAUGAUUUUCAGAUGGUAUAUAUUGCGAUUAUAACCUUUAACUACAUAGAAAAUAUGUUAAGACUGAUUUGGCUCUUUUCCUUCAAACUUGAAUUUGUUUCUUAAAAUAGUAUUUCGCAAUUAUUUCUAUAGCUUUGGAUUUGGUUGAGGCAGGCAAAUAUGUGUUGAAUAUUCCACCUCUUCUUCCUAAUAAAUAUUUUGUAAAACUCACUCCAUUCUUUUGUAAAAUAAUGCAGAUAAAUGUAGACAUUGUGCGUGUAUAAUUGUAUAUAUAUAUGUAAUAUACAUAUAUAAUUAGUUGCAGGGAGAUGUAACAUGUUAGUCCAUGUGGGUUUCGCGUACUAAAUGUUAGGCCGCUUAGGCUCCACAGUGUUUUUAUGUCCAACGAUCUCUUUAGAUUUUUCCUAUCAACUUUGGUCCAUUCAAACAUAAUGUAACAAAAUAAGAAUUUUCAAAAUCAAUACAAUACUAAAAGUUGAAUAAGAUCAACAUCUAAACUAUCCACGUAGGCAAAUUUAAUCAACCAAUGAGAAAGUUUAAUUUUGCCAUAUCACCAUUGCUGAUAUAGAUUGAACUUUCGUGUGGGUUUAUGAAAAUUAUCAGUGUGGCCCACCCCACCCAGCCCAUGAAGAGAAAAAACAGAGAAACAUGUAUUGUUGUUUCAAGCUUCGAGUCUCUUGACUCUUCCACUUCGUCUUCUGCGAUUUGAUUUGUUUUUGCAUAACCUUCUCAAUCAUUAAUCAAUAAUGUUCUUAAAACAAUCCUUGAAUGUUUCUUUUCACCUCCCUUGAUCCUUUCUUAUAUAAAUAUAUGUCUUAAUCUAAAUCAAAACCUAUUCUGAAGAAGCUACAUCUAUGGCCAUACAAUCCACCAGAAUUCUAAGCACAACCGCCGUCGAAGCUACUUCACCAUUGAAUCAUCAUCAUCCAGGUUCUCAGCCGCCGUCGAAGCUACUUCACCAUUGAAUCAUCAUCAUCCAGGUUCUUACCAGGUUACAGCUAUCACCGUUUUCAACCCUCCGAGAAUCUCCGGUAAAAAAAUCAAUUCCCGUGACGGAGAGAUUGUGAAGAAGAUGAUAUACAUAUUUAAACUCAGAUUUCAAGUGAAGAUGUUGGUUUUCUGAAGAAGAUAUGCUUUUGUGUGAGGCACAACGAGUGUUAGAUGGACAGAGAUACAAAGAUGGGUUCAGGCAGGUAGACGAUUAUUUUCUUUGUUCCGUUUCUAUUGACCAUAGGAAAUGAAAGGAAAAAGCUUUUUGUUGGGUCCUUCUCAUGCAAAAGGAAUCGUCCAUCAGAAAACGUAAGAGCUAUAUGAAUUUGCUUCUUUAUCUGCUUAAUUUUAGUGUGGACAGUGGUGUUGAUGCGUGAGUCUUAGUGUUCGAAUAUGCAACGGAAUCGAGGUUAAGCAGCCUAACUCUGUCAUCCGUAAGUGUGCUAGAGUACAACUUAUCAAGAACGGAAAGAAGGUUAUGCUGUGACCAAUUUACUAAACGUGGAUUAGUUUUGUGAAAUGUUGAAUCAUCUUUUGUUAAUGUCUGCAAGACGAGUUCUUUAUUUCUGAGGGUCAUGUUGUGGGAGAUAUUCCUGGAGUUAGGUACAAGGUUGUCAAGGUUUCUGAUGUUUCAAUUUCAACUCUCUACAAGGGAAAGGAGCAACUAAAGUCUUAAAAAAAGCUUCAAGCUUUUGAAUAUGAUUUUGAUGUCAUAAGUACUUAUAGGUUGUUUGGUUAAAAUAACUCUUAUGUUCUGUUCUACUUUAUGAUUCAUGAACUGUGUGUGUUUAACUUCUUCUCGAUGAGUUUUUGAGUGUAGUCUGAACCUUAUACUGUUAUUCGCUUUUCUUGAAUCAUUUUCCUCAUGAGUAUAGUGUAGUAGAUAUUAUGUUUUCGACUUGCACAACAAAUAGCAACGUCACAAGUGAGCAAUAACAAUAAGAGACCAAAUGACAUGCAUGUUGUGUUUCUAUAUAUGGUGAGAUUAUAUAGUUUUUAUUAUUUACGGUUACGGAGUAAAGUUCAGAUGAAUAUUUACUUGACCAUUACUUAUCAAGUUGUAAUAAAAAAAUAAUUGUUCCCCCAUUUCCAAAUAAGAAACUAAUUAUAUUCUUUCAUAAAAAAAACUAAUUAUAUUCAACAAAAAUAUAUUAAAUUUCAUAUAAGAUACUAAUAAUUUAAGAAGUUAUAGCAUACCUUUCAUGUUAACAUAUUUUUACCUAUUUGUUUUCUUCUUUUGUGACCUCAGUGAAUGGUAUAAGUUAUAACAAACCUUUCAUGUUAUUUACGUUAAGUCUUACUAACGUUACAAUUUCUCAUGUUAACAUUGAACUCUUUCAGGAAAUUUAUCAGUUAAAUUUGCAUUGAUUAGUGUCUGCUGAAUCAACCUGAUUAGCCAAAUGAUCAAUAAAUGUUCUUUUCACUUAGUGUGACGUUUGAACUCUAUUAUAUGCAAACCUACUUUAUAAUAUGCAAACCCUUUGUCAACUAUGAUGUUAACAUUUUAGCAAAAAAAAAACUAUGAUGUUCUCAAGCAUGUUUUAGUUUUAGUCGAGUCGAUGGAUUAGGUUAAUCGAUUGAGAUAUAAUUUUGCUCAUUGAAGCAUCACUAUUUAAAAUAUUAUAUUGACUUGAAGAAAUAUUAGACCAUAGAAGAUUAGUUUUAGUGAUUUUUAUGGUUUUCGCUUUCGGGUUUAUCUAUCAAAGAAUGGUAGAAUAUCAAAGUUUUAAGGUGAAAACAGAUCAAAUUUAAACAAGCUCCUCCACUGAAUAGUCACAUGGACAGAACCGUUUUGGACGUAGAGUAUAUACCUCAUAAAAUUUUAAACUUAAAAUACAUAAACAUAGAGUUUUCAAUUUGUUUAGUAAAUUUAUUUUACUAAUUGUCUGUGAUCCCCAAAAUUUGAGAAUCACCCUGUAUAUAGAGUAUGGAGUGAUGAGGACUAAAUCCUAUUGGUAUAGUCUUUUGUUACUAAAGCUAUAGCGACAAGCAAUAGAAGCAGUAUACUCCAUUUCACUGGAAAAAUAAAGUAAGCAGACUAUCACUAAUUUUCCAUACAAAUAAAAAAGUUUAAACCAAAGUAAAUUUUAAAAUAAUGACAUUCUCAAUUUUGGUAAAAAAAUAUUUUACCUAAAUUUAUAGGGUGAAAAUAAAAAUGAUAUUUCAAAGAAUAAGAAUCAUUGAAUAACUAUUGUAGGUCAUAUAUUUAAGUAUUCGAAUUCGAACUAUUUGGCUUUCAAACUUACAGGUUAGAUUUGAUUUCUAGAAUUAUAAAUUAACUGUAUUACUGAUUAAUAUGCAAAGUUACAUGUCAUGUUAGAAACGCGUCUAAAGAAUGCAGUCUUUAUUAUCUUAUUUAUUCACAAUUAUUGAUCAUGUCAAUUAUUUAGAUUUUUUAUCAUUUUAAAAUUACUAGAUGAUUAUUCAUAUCUCAGUAAAAAAAUAUUAGUCAAUAUUAAUAAAAAAAAUCAUUAUAUAUUGUUUAACAAAUCAUAUUUAUAUUAAAAUAAAAUUUUAUCAAAUAUUUAUUGUGAUAUUUAGAAUCUGAAUAUUAUAUUUUAGUAUAUUCAUACCUAAUAAAAAAUAAUAAUCAUACGUGAAGAAUUUUGCUAAUGUAUAUAGCACAAUUAGACACUAUACACAUAAAUUGCAUGUUUAAUUCACAUGACUAAAGAGUAUGAUUAAAAUACUAUACUACUAUACUAAAAGCCCGAUAUACUCCACUCUAAAGCUGUCCACGUCAUUUAUUAAAUUCAACCAAUCAGAGAGCAUUGUUUGGUCACGUCACCAUCAAACUUCUCAAAAAGCUUCGGGCCUAUUUCGAUUGAUCUUCUCAUCUUUUUUCCUCUUGCAAAAACGUUUUUUGAGAAGACUGUGUUAUCUCACAAACCUUCCUCCAGCACUCAUAAUUAUAUAUUGAUUCAACCUAUAAAGUCACUAAUAAUAGAUUGAUUCGUCUGUUUGAGUCGAUUUCAUCAUCUCCGCUUCAGUUCUAAAUACAAUUUUCCAGUUCAAAAUUCACAUUGACUCGGGAAUACUCAACCGACGAAUAGUAUAGUUCAUCAACCGCAGGCCAUGUUCGAAAACGCGGCAACCCAGCCGAGUACAUGGCCUUGCAACGCUCGGCGGUGAAGAACCGCCGCGAUUUCAUCAAAAUCGGACAAAAAAUCGGAUUCAUCAAAAAAGUCCAGGCUUUUGAAUUUUAAACGCUUGGAAUUUGAUGUUACGUCGCAAAUCUACAGUUUUUAUGCAAAAAUUGAUAAGAAAAUUGCAAGAAAAUGAUGUUUUAUGUUAAAAAAGUUCGAGGCGGCCAUGCAAAUUUCGUAGUAGAAGUGAAAGCCCUAAAAGGAAGAAGACGAUUUAAUUACGAGUUUGCCAUUAAUUAAAAAAAAAAUCUAAAACAAAAAGAAAGGAUCUGCGUUUCGAACCCGUGACAUCCUCCGUCAUAAAAUCGUCUUUUGCCACUGGACCACGUCGUCUUUCAAAAGAAACGCAGAAAAAUGUUUAAUAGAUUAUAGUUAUACAUAAAUUAAGAAAACCACUGAAAACUAAUCCCCACGUACUCCAGCUUAAUCUCCGAUUUUUCGUUAACUCGCUAGACACCAACCAACAGCCCGACUCACUCCUAGCGUAGUUUCGAACAUGGACCGCAGGUGACCAAUUACGCAGUUUUAAUAUAACUGAAACUACGAUUGCUAGCUCCACUUCUCCGGAAAAUUCUAGGACCGCAACACCGGCAAAUUCCACAUCGUCUUUGAGAGCGUCGGGUCGGAUUUUGGUCUCGGCCCUCUUAGUAAAGCUGAUCUCGAUCUGAUCGUAAAGUUUUGUUCGAUUCAAUUAUUUCAAUCAGAUUUUUCCAGUAGAUGAUUCUGAGUUUUAUAUUUUUUUUAGACAUAUAUGAUUUUUUCAGUCAGAUCGAGAUGUUUACUAGAUGUAUAACUCGGGAACAAAUUCUGUUGCAGAAUGAAAAUUGAAUCAUGUAAGCUGUUCAUCGGUCAUCUCUCUUGGAAGACGCACUGAAGAUCGAGAGUACAUUUCAGAGUUUCGGUGAGGUUUAGAAGUGAUGCUCAUGAAGGAUCGAGCCACUGGAUGUGCUCAUGGUUUAUUUUUUGUCUUCGCUGAUCCCAGUGUCAGCUGCACUCACUGUUGGGAGACAAGAGCUCUAUGCUCUGUUUGUUGAAGAAGGUUUGGAUUUGAGCAGUAUCCAUAGAAAAGGAAGCCAUGAAAAGUUUUGAGAAAGUCAUUAAACUCUCUGACCAUAUUUCUAGAUUGACGAUAAAUUUGAUUCAAAGUAACAAAAAUUUCAUAGUAUUGAUUUUCAUUUUGUUUAGAUAAAACUUUGUUUUAGUUUUCAGAUUUAAAAAUGUAUAUUUAUUUAGUUUUCAAAAAGUAUAGUCACAUUCAACCAUAUUCAAAUGUGCUCUACUUUAUAAUCGUUUUUGUUGUUUGGUCUUAAACAUGACUAAUUAUAUAUAUUAGACACAGAAGUUGGACUAAUUGCUUGAAUGGUUUAGGCAAGCAGUUCUGUUUUCUUCUCUUACAUAAAUUGAAAAAAAUUGAAUUUAAUAUUACAACAAAAUCAAGGUCUAAUCAAUGUUCCGGCAAUGACCAUGAAGACAAUCGGCUUAAAUUUAACGCCAUGGUAUUGGAAUCAACAGAGAAUCUUUCAAACUCAGAAAUAAAUAUAAAUAACUACCUUAACAUUUUUUUCCAAAAAUACCAAAAACUAAAACAAAUACUAGAGCUAGACCUGGAAACUGUCUUUACAUAGACGAGGCUGAAAUGAAAAAGAUAACAAAUGAAUUAAAAAAAAAUAAAAAAUGGAACCAUACAUACAAAAUAAAUAUUAUGGCCAAAACACAAAAAGAAAUAAAUAAGAUGAACCAAAAGUUUUUUUUUUGAAACUAAGAUGAACCAAAAGUUAGAAAAAAAAACAUUUAAAAUUGGUUCAAAUAAAGAAUUUAGGCAACAAUUAAUGACAGCAACAAAAUAAUAAACUACAAUAAAUAUACUCCAAAAGUUAACACCAAUAAUUAACACAAAAAUCAUAUAAUCACAUAUUAAUCAUUGUUGUAUCAAUCAUUCCCACAAAAUAAUUACAUACAAUAACAACAAAAGUAACGUUAAUAUACAAGUGAAACAUUAAACAACGACAUGUAUCCACAAAAAGCUGAACUAUAAACACAUAAAACAAGCAGUCGAAAAAGAGAGCUUGACAAAUAUUCUUAUGUGAUACAUGAGAAAUCAAUAUGCUAAGAAACAAUUAACCGGCUGUUUAGAAGCGUUAAUCCAACAAUAUAUAAAUGUAUGUUCACAGCAAAUGAAAUCCUACUAUCAAUUACAUUACAUUAAAAAAAACUAUCAAUUACAACACAUUUAAAAAUGAGAAAUCAAAAAAAUUACUACACUUUUAUAUUAGGAGCAAAAUUCUACAAACAAUAAGUUGUAUCCGGUGGUUUAGAAGAAUAUGAACUUCAGAAAUAUAAAUAUCAUAUUUAAAUACAAUACAUAACUGUACAUGGACAUUAACUUUAGAAGAAAAUAAAAUGUUACAUUUAUUGAUUUCAAAAAUGCAUUUUCUCAUAUACAUAAAUAUGUUAUAGUAUUCUUGCAACCAGAAACAUAUAUUAUUCAAAUAAAAAUAAUACUCUUUGUUAAAAUAUAUAUAUCCUCUUUAUAAAUAAGUGUAUGUUCUUUAUUCACCAAAAGAUAAACAUUUAAAACGAAAAGGAUACACGAAUAUCUGACACAUAAGAAUAAAAUGAUUACAAAUAAUAAUACAUUGCAAACCAGUAUUACAACAAAGACACACACAAAAUCCAAUUUAAUUUACCAUCUACUACAUAUUUUAAAACCAAUCGAAAAUAAUGAAUAAAAAUUAGUUUUCACCUGCAAAAGGGGGUGUGGCUUCUUUUUGUUUCCAUUAUAGUUAGCGCUAAAUUUAUAUAUAAAUACACUUAAAUCAAAUAUUAGUUACAUGAAAAUGGCUAUAUGUUCCAUAUCAAAUUUCUUUUUGUAUUCGCUCCUCCAUGACAUAAAAGAUAAGCUGAUUUCAAUACCAUCUUCAGUGUGUUCAUAAAAUAUCGACAUAUCAUAUGACCAAAGCUAAGUGGUACAUAUAUCAAAUUUUUUAAAAUUUCUAAAUUUAUAGAAAACAAAAA
Molecule: long non-coding RNA, 8544 nt
Organism: Brassica rapa (field mustard)
Lineage: Eukaryota; Viridiplantae; Streptophyta; Magnoliopsida; Brassicales; Brassicaceae
Source: RefSeq, a predicted model, not a curated record